ACAUUGGUUUAAUUCCUUUCUUUAUCA
Molecule: transfer RNA, 27 nt
Filed under: Anolis grahami
Lineage: Eukaryota; Metazoa; Chordata; Lepidosauria; Squamata; Anolidae
Description: partial tRNA-Tyr
Source: RNAcentral